Molecule: long non-coding RNA, 670 nt
Organism: Rhinichthys klamathensis goyatoka
Lineage: Eukaryota; Metazoa; Chordata; Actinopteri; Cypriniformes; Leuciscidae
Exons: 3
Source: RefSeq, a predicted model, not a curated record
CAGAUCUGACAGGAAAGUGCCUCUGAUGCCUCUGAUUGGAUGGAAAGAGCUGUGACCGUUGUAAAAAGUGAGAUCCGACGCAAUCUAUCGCACCUCCCCCUCCGGCCCACUGAUGGAUUGACCCACCUGUAGUAGGCCCUCAGGCGGAGCUCCACCAGGAGGCUCAUAUCCACAGUGCGGCUGUAAUGCAGCACUACAGCACAGUGGCAGGGUGCAACCUGUUUCUCCUUUCACACAGAAUCAACAGACAGCAGCCCUGCUGGCCCGAGGGUCAUAUGAGGACCUCUCCGUGACCCCUGACCUCAUUUUGAACCAAGACCCUCGAGUUCAUCCACAUCUGCGGCUGUAGAGAAGGUCACUGGAGAGUUUGCCUUUACUCUGACAUAACAAGCAGAAUGAGGUUUGUUAUUAAAAAGGCAAAAAGUCAAUAAAAUCUAAGUUUGUGAUUUAAUUAGUUAGAAUAGCAGUAACAGUAAUUAUCUACUUCACAAAAUAAUCACACAUUAAUUAGGCAGCAGGCUACAUGCAUUAUAUUAGAAUCACAAGAGCACUGUAAUGUAAAUCAAGGCCAAAUUAGACUAUUUGAAAAUAGAUUAUAUGAAAUUCAUAAUGCGCUUUGUAGUCCAUUAUGUCUUUGCAUACAUAUUUGUUACCACAGAUAAUAAUUCAG